CAACCUGCCGUAUACAGGGGAAUAAUCAUUGGAAACGAUGACUAAUACCGCAUGUCACCAUUGGGAGGCAUCUCGCGAUGGGAAAAGGAGGAAUCCGGUAUACGAUGGGCCCGCAUCUGAUUAGCUAGUUGGUGAGAUAAUAGCUCACCAAGGCGACGAUCAGUAGCCGACCUGAGAGGGUGAUCGGCCACAUUGGGACUGAGACACGGCCCAAACUCCUACGGGAGGCAGCAG
RNAcentral lists this ribosomal RNA (234 nucleotides) under uncultured bacterium. RNAcentral describes it as "partial 16S ribosomal RNA". It matches the Rfam family "Bacterial small subunit ribosomal RNA", at positions 122 to 354 of the family's 1533-position model. The record is from RNAcentral.